This 590-nucleotide ribosomal RNA is filed under the name uncultured Davidiella. RNAcentral's name for it is "eukaryotic LSU rRNA". The stretch from base 226 to 379 matches the Rfam family "5.8S ribosomal RNA". The record is from RNAcentral. Lineage: Eukaryota; Fungi; Ascomycota; Dothideomycetes; Cladosporiales; Cladosporiaceae.
UCCUUGGUCAUUUAGAGGAAGUAAAAGUCGUAACAAGGUCUCCGUAGGUGAACCUGCGGAGGGAUCAUUACAAGAACGCCCGGGCUACGGCCUGGUUAUUCAUAACCCUUUGUUGUCCGACUCUGUUGCCUCCGGGGCGACCCUGCCUUCGGGCGGGGGCUCCGGGUGGACACUUCAAACUCUUGCGUAACUUUGCAGUCUGAGUAAACUUAAUUAAUAAAUUAAAACUUUUAACAACGGAUCUCUUGGUUCUGGCAUCGAUGAAGAACGCAGCGAAAUGCGAUAAGUAAUGUGAAUUGCAGAAUUCAGUGAAUCAUCGAAUCUUUGAACGCACAUUGCGCCCCCUGGUAUUCCGGGGGGCAUGCCUGUUCGAGCGUCAUUUCACCACUCAAGCCUCGCUUGGUAUUGGGCAACGCGGUCCGCCGCGUGCCUCAAAUCGUCCGGCUGGGUCUUCUGUCCCCUAAGCGUUGUGGAAACUAUUCGCUAAAGGGUGUUCGGGAGGCUACGCCGUAAAACAACCCCAUUUCUAAGGUUGACCUCGGAUCAGGUAGGGAUACCCGCUGAACUUAAGCAUAUCAAUAAGCGGAGGA